Molecule: ribosomal RNA, 253 nt
Filed under: uncultured bacterium
Lineage: Bacteria
Description: partial 16S ribosomal RNA
Rfam family: Bacterial small subunit ribosomal RNA
Source: RNAcentral
UACAUGGGGUGCAAACGUUGCUCGGAAUCAUUGGGCGUAAAGCGCGCGUAGGCGGUUACUUAAGUCGAAUGUGAAAGCCCUCGGCUUAACCGAGGAAAUGCAUCCGAAACUGAGUAGCUAGAGUACGAAAGAGGGUCGCGGAAUUCCCGGUGUAGAGGUGAAAUUCGUAGAUAUCGGGAGGAACACCGGUGGCGAAGGCGGCGACCUGGGUCGAGACUGACGCUGAGGCGCGAAAGCGUGGGGAGCAAACAGG